This 893-nucleotide ribosomal RNA is filed under the name uncultured bacterium. RNAcentral describes it as "bacterial SSU rRNA". It matches the Rfam family "Bacterial small subunit ribosomal RNA", at positions 505 to 1398 of the family's 1533-position model. The record is from RNAcentral.
GUGCCAGCAGCCGCGGUAAUACGUAGGGUGCGAGCGUUAAUCGGAAUUACUGGGCGUAAAGCGUGCGCAGGCGGUUUUGUAAGUCAGAUGUGAAAUCCCCGGGCUUAACCUGGGAACUGCGUUUGAAACUGCAAGGCUAGAGUGUGGCAGAGGGGGGUGGAAUUCCGCGUGUAGCAGUGAAAUGCGUAGAGAUGUGGAGGAACACCGACGGCGAAGGCAGCCCCCUGGGUCAACACUGACGCUCAGGCACGAAAGCAUGGGGAGCAAACAGGAUUAGAUACCCUGGUAGUCCAUGCCCUAAACGAUGUCAACUAGUUGUCGGGUCUUAACAGGCUUGGUAACGUAGCUAACGCGUGAAGUUGACCGCCUGGGGAGUACGAUCGCAAGAUUAAAACUCAAAGGAAUUGACGGGGACCCGCACAAGCGGUGGAUUAUGUGGAUUAAUUCGAUGCAACGCGAAAAACCUUACCUACCCUUGACAUGUAUCGAAGCCCGCAGAGAAGUGGGUGUGCCCGAAAGGGAACGAUAACACAGGUGCUGCAUGGCUGUCGUCAGCUCGUGUCGUGAGAUGUUGGGUUAAGCCCCGCAACGAGCGCAACCCUUGUCAUUAAUUGCCAUCAUUUAGUUGGGCACUUUAAUGAGACUGCCGGUGACAAGCCGGAGGAAGGUGGGGACGACGUCAAGUCCUCAUGGCCCUUAUGGGUAGGGCUUCACACGUAAUACAAUGGCGCGUACAGAGGGUUGCCAACCCGCGAGGGGGAGCUAAUCUCAGAAAGCGCGUCGUAGUCCGGAUCGGAGUCUGCAACUCGACUCCGUGAAGUCGGAAUCGCUAGUAAUCGCGGAUCAGCAUGUCGCGGUGAAUACGUUCCCGGGUCUUGCACACACCGCCCGUC